AUGACUAACAGCAAAGGGUACGACGAGGGCAUUCUUCCCUGCACCACUUUCCAUAACAACACUCAAGGCUCUAGAAAAUACUCUGGGCUGGAGGAGUUUUCAUUUGGCACGGAUUCAUCUAAGGAAAAAAGCUGGAGCUCUUCCAAAGACAAUAUUUGUCAGAGAAGCCUCAAUUCAGACCUAACAGUGUUUAUUAAAUUGGGAGCUGCUGUGCUGCCUUUUUUCGUCCUCUGAUCUGUAUGUACUUUGAAUCAGUUUCAGACUGAAUAUGAAAGUUGUUCCUUUUUCCCUUGCUCUGCAGUCUCUUUCAAGUCUGUCGUAAGCAACUGAUCAAAGGCGCUGCGUUUUAAUCAGACAAAACAGAUGUGAAGUCAGAUGACUGUUUUUAAUGGUUUGGAUCCAGUCGUUUUGACGACUACUGAUAUCGAAUCAAUGGGUGAUAUGGGGCAUGGCACUUCAGAGGAAAAGUUAGUCUAGCUAAUUUUAUCUCUAAAUAAAAUGUUAUAGGUGGUGGAAUGAACUUAAACAGACCUCAAAAUCUCCCCAUGCUGGAUCUUCAGCUGCCUAACAAACAAUAGAGAACAAGUUUUAUUGUUCUGUUGACAAAUGCUUUAAUUAAAAUGGGUGCAGGAGGAGCGUUAAAACUGCACUAAAUAACCGAUCCAAGGCCACAGCCGAAAACUUCUGCCCCAGGGGAGUAGGAAUCAAACCUGCUCUGCAAACAGGAAGCUUCAGCCCACAGCUCAGAGGGUCAGAGUGGAUUCAAAAGCAUCCGAUUGGGUGAGAAGUAACCAUGGAAACAUUUGAAUAACCACAGAGACCGCUCAGAUACUUGAGCAGGCUGUUAGCACCGUGUUCAAACAUUUAAUGCCCCCUCUACACCGAGACCUAAGAGUCUCUUUCCAAGUCACAGAGUUGGAGCACAUCCAGGCAAAGACUUUCUGACUCGCAGCACCUGCAGAGCUCGGCUGGGGGGAGAAACAGACAUAAAACUAUAUCUAGGUCAAGUAUACUGCAUCAACCACACUUCCCCAAACAAACACGAUCGCUCAGGAAAUACCCCUUUUUGUACCAAAACACAUGAAGCCUACUGUUCUCCAUGUACUUUGUGUUUGCAGCACGUUAGGCCACAAGUGUGCAUGGGUGUGUCUCACUCCUAGCUGGUGUGUUUACUUUUUAUGGUACACGUGUCUGUUGUGUACGUGUGCGGCAUGCACGUAAGGCUGUAUUUACAGCCUUUUCAUGAGAUCAUACGCACAAGUUCGGAUUAGGCAACGUGCAGUUUCGCCUUACAGAUUUUACUCUAGCGCCAAGUAAGUUCUAAGGAAGACUGGUGUGUGUACAAAGAAGUCAUCUUCUGUUUAUCUGGGGAGAGGUUACAAGGUCAUCACACACUUUUUCACUAUGAGCUGUCACGCUUUUACUCUAACCACAAGUCCAGAGUGUUUAACAAUGGCCUUGCAGUCAGGGGAAGAAUUUCAACCUGCUUACAUUAAAAAAGCGCUUCCUUUUGCAUGAUCCAAAUUAGUUUUAAUCCUCAGAUUAGUAAACAGGUUUUGCUAUUCAAGUCAAACGGCAUACAAAAAGAAGUGAAACCACGUAUAUAACACACCGAUUUACAGGUCACGUUGGCACCACCUAGAAAAAGGAAUGUGCUUUUAAAGGGGAAGUUCAAUCUAAAAUAUAAAUUCUAUUACCAUUUUCUCACGCUUAUGACUUUCUUUCACCUGAAGAACACAAAAGGCGACAUUUUGAAGAAUGUGUUUUGUCCACUAAACGAUGGUCAAUGCAUGGGGGAACCCUUUAUCUUUCAUCGUAUGUACUAAAACACAAGUAUUUUCUAAAAUAUCAUCAAAAGACAAACACAAACUGGUUUGAAAUGACAUGUGGAAGAGAAAAUGACAAUGACAAAGCUAGUUCACCGAGAAAAUAAAUAUUCUCGGUGAACUAGCUUUUAACAAAGUCUGCUCUGUGUUUAUUUAAAGGUAUAGCAGUAGGGGUGUUGCGAUAUACUGGUAUUGACGAUAACCGUGAUAUUCAAAGCAAUUAUCGAUAUCGUGUUAAUUUAGUGUGUGACAAUAUACCGGUAUUAGCAAUAACCGCAAUAUUUAAAAUUAACAGGUCUCUUAUGAUAACACCACAUGUAAAUACUCCAUCGCCAGUACCUGGUUGAGCUCCCAGGUGGCAGUAUUGUGCCUUAACGCUGACACCUGUCACACAAGACUACGACGCAGUGCUCGCAGCUGAGGAGAGCAGUGUUCAUCAGAGUAAGUUGCCAUUAUUUUACUAGUCAUAGAAUGGGAAAUGUUAUAUUAACCUGUUAACAGCAGUUUUCUGUGUUCAUAUAUUUAAGUAAAGGGCGAUUAUUUUAAUAAGUGCUGUGUUUUCUUUACUCAUCUUAUUUUUGUUUUUGCAAUCAAUACGGCCUGUGUGUAGCAACACUUUAUUUCUAUGUUCAACUGUUCUUGAAAAACUGAGCGACCACAUUGCUACAUUAAACUCUGUAAAAUGUUAAGUUGGUCGCAGUGCCACGCACUUAAUGCCUCAUUUGCGGUUAUUCUUCAAUAAGGCUCAUUAGUUAACAUAUAUAAAUAACAAAUAAUAAUUAACAAUAUUUCCACAGCAUUUAUUAAUCUUAGUUCAUGUUAAUUUCAGCAUUUACUUAUGCAUUAUUAAAAUCACAAGUUCUGUUUGUAAACAUUAAUGCACUGUGAACAUGAAAAAUUAAUGACUCUAAUUUUGUCCUUAUGUUCGUUAGGUGAAAAAGAAAAACCCAAUAAACAAAGUAAAAUCGAAUUUGACUGAUAUCUUUUCGCCCCAAGGUUUCAUUAGAUAUCACGAUAUAUCGAUAUUGUGAAUAUUUUGGCCGUUAUAUGAAAAAUCUAAUAUUGUGACAGCCCUAUAUAGCAGAUAUAAUUUUGUUUUCAUGCAGAAUAUUAAAGCUUCGCGUGAGCAUUUCAUUGGCCCCUGAGCAGCAAGCACAAACCAGACAGAGCUGAGUGAGGUGAAACAGGAACUUUAAUUUGACCUAUUUCACAGAGUUCAUUUCCUGUUUUGCCCAUUCGCGGAGAGACGCGUGAAAUGAGACACCAAAACACUGUUAAUGAAUGUGGCCACAGAGAGCGGAUGUCACAGCCCCAUAUAAUAAAUGCCAAUAAUAAGACUUGGUCUGAAACAAUAGACGCCUUAACGCAGCCAGGUUCAAUGCACGUAAAUCCAGUGUUUUUCUUUGAAGAUCAAAGUGGUGUAAAUCACAGACUCCUAUACGUUCCUGUUUAAAGUUUAGCCAGUGUGCACACGCUAAAUAAGCUGAGGUGCUCCCCUGGCAGAAAAAAAUGUCUUAUCUUAAAUCUCAUCACCCGUUACACUUAUGAUAUCUGUCGCUGCCCCACCUACUGUGCUACAUUAGUGGGGUGAAAUGUUCUGUGCUACGUUAAUACAAAAUGAAAGGGAGGCUAAAAAAUUUUGUUCCAGGACAUUACUUUUCAGGAAGCAGUUUAUUUUAAAAUCCACUCAGACUCGAUGUAUAUAUCGCAUUCCUUGCCUUUAUAAGCA
This is a long non-coding RNA of Cyprinus carpio carpio, 3555 nucleotides long. Lineage: Eukaryota; Metazoa; Chordata; Actinopteri; Cypriniformes; Cyprinidae. The record is from Ensembl.